GCAGUCGGUCGGACUGAGCCCUGAAGGGCGGGUCGGGGGAAAAGGCUGUCUCAGGGAUCAAAUAUUUUAGUUUUUGAAUUGUUAACAGUAAUCUUUCUUUGGGGGUCUGAAGCAAUUUCUCAGAUGAUUCAGUUUAAAAAGGCAGCAAUAACAACUACCCUUUGCCUUGACUAUUAAUAGUUCAGGCAAGGGCUUGUGUGUGGAGAAUGGUCAAGGUUAUCUAAAUAGCUUAUUUGAAAUUCUAUGUUUUAGAAUUUAGUCUGAGUGAAGGUGACCAGGGGCCAAAUAGAAUUGAUUAUUCCUGGAGGACUGUGUUUCCUGCUUAUUGUUCUUUUAACCUUGUCAGGCAGGAAAAUUCUGUAACAAGGGUUCCUGCCAAGUUUAAUAUCAGUCUUGGCAUUUUCUUUGAAUCUUCCUUAUAGUUUCAGAGCAACCUCUGAUAACUGGCAGAAAUGAUUAGUGAGCUUUCCCAAUAUCUGUGAGGGUUCCAAACCCAUUGACUUCUGGAAGAGCAUGUGAUGUGUGCCCUGAUAUAAGGGCUGUCACGUGGUUUCCAUUCUGAAGGUGAGUCAGCCUAGCUUGGGACCCAAAAUUCUGAAAUUGACUGGUCCAGUAAGCAUUUCCUGUGUUUCUGUAACUCAGAGACGCAAACCACACGUCUUCCUAGGUCAGAAGGCUGUAAUUUACCUGGGGUUCCCCUUUCCUGUGAUUUGCUGUGUUAGUGCACAUCACCAGCUCAGUUCCUUUUUUUGAUAAUUUGACUUUGACCUCCAGGUUCCAGCAGCUAUAUUGGUAAGAGCUGGACAGAGGAGGGGCAGCAAGUGCCAUGGACGGAGGUCACUGGUAGACUUGAUCUUCCUAGUUUAGGUGGUAGCUGGGGCUGAGCAGGAGAUGAUGGGAGUAGAAGGCUAAGGAAUCCAGUGUUAACUCAUGUCUAGGAAUUUCUGAGUGCAGCUCCUCUGUCUGGGUGGGAAAAGAGAACCUGGCUCCUAGGGUAGAAGGUGACUAGGUAGGGCUUGGAAACUAAACAUAUAUUUUAGUGGGGCUGAUGUCAUUUUUAGGGAAGUAAAGCACUGUGUUGUGUCAUGCAUGCAGGUAAGAUACAGGUUAUAGCGAUGAUGGUCAAACCAAGCCAUAGGGUGACCAACCAUCUUAUUUUGCUCAGGGUUGAGGGGUUCUCUGAAAUGCAGGACUCCUGCUAAAACUGAGCACUAAAACUGAGAUACUUCCAGGCAAACUGAAACACUUCCAGGCAAACUGAAAUAGUCAUCCUACCCUUGAGUCUAUCUCAACAUUUAACUCUUGCCACUUCUAGGAAGGUAGGAAGGACUAGUUUAAAAUUUUUAUAUUUUGCUUUCUAAAUCCCUUUCUCUCAGACAUUAAGACAUUCAGAGCCAUCUGCAGAGGGUAAAGUCACAAAGGGGUGCAUGUGUUUCAAGGGUUAAGUGCAGAGGAGGGAUAGAACUGUCCCUACCCCUCUGCCUUGGGGAUUGAAGACACAGGGGAAAGAGGUCUUUUGGAUGGUUAGUUGUAAAUGAGCUUCAAUAAUAAUUGUUAUUGUUACAAUUAUUAUAAUAUAAUAAUAACAAUAAUAAUUAUUAUUUUGUUACCGGCUGCUUGCUGCCUACACAAAGUCACUGCCCACCCCUGGGGCUCCAGGCAGCUGAAGGGAGGGAGUCAUCAUAGGAGAUAUGACAAAACUAUUUGUAGUUUUAAGACUACCGCACUAGAAAUUUUUUUUAGACCCUUAGUUACUUUCAUAGUUUUAGAAAGGAAGUUGCUUAUCACUCGGAUAUCAGUGGAAGACACUGAAAUUUAUAUGUGUAGCCACUGUCUCCUCUGGUCUUAUAGACUAGAGUUCUAGAGUCUAAAUAUUUCUGUGUGGAUACACUGCUAUUAUCACAGCUUGACACACUUAAAACAAGACUCCUUACCUUCUCUAUACUCUUACAAGCUAAGUCUUCUUCUCAAUAUCCUUAUUUCUAGCAGUGACAUCUCCGUUUCAUUUGUUCUCUGGGCUUGAAAUAUCAUGGAAGUUAUUUGGAGAGGCCUUCCCUGACUACUGCAUCCCACCACUCUCCACCCAGUGCCCUACUUUCUUUUUCUUCAUAGCACUUGGUUACCUGAUUCUAUGUGGAUGUACUUAAUGGUGUGGUUUUAUAUUGUCUUCCAUGUGCGUUGGAGGAUAGGCUUCAUGAGGAUAGGGACUUUGGUUUGCUCCUCACUGUGUCCCCAGUGCCCAGUAUAAUUCUUAGCACAUAAUAGGUCCUUAAUGGGUAACUAUGGGAUUAAUGAAUGGCUUUUCCAUGGACUGUGAAGCCUGGCAGGGAAGGGACUGUUUUUUGUUUGUUUGUUUGUUUGUUUUUGAAUGCAGUCCAACUUUUAGUAGAUGCUUAAAGAAGCAUUCAGGUUUUUGAGGGGACAGUUUUUUUGCUUUUAAUCCUUUCUCCUCUAAUCCAUCUUAAACACUACCACCAAAUGAAUCUUCCUAAAAUUUAAUUUUUUAUUGUCAACUGCCUGUUUAAAGGCCAAGAUCAUUUCUCAUUGCCCACAUAAUGGACUCCUGGAUCCUGCAUGUUGAAUUUGCUUGAUUUAGUAUUCUUGGAAUUCAGGCUCUCUAUGGUCCGAUCUUCUCCUGUUCUUCUCCCACAAUAGCCCUUUGCUCCACAGAGAGGUUUCUUCACAGGCCAAGAAACAAUUCAUUCGCAUUGCUGCUGCUUCAUUUAUUUUUGCUCACACAGUUGUUUCUACCUGAAAUGCUGUCCUCUUUCUACUUUGUCUUCCUUUCUUCCUUGAGGUCAAGUUCAAUUUCCUGUGCUCCAAGAAGCUACCACUGCCCAUGGCAGCACACCUUGAUCUCUCCUUUCUGUGAAUUUCAGUUGCCUUUGGGGCUUGUACUCUACAGGCUGGCACUGGAUGGAUUACCGUUUUGUACAACUCUGUCAUUGUUUCCUGUGGGCUUGCCUCAGCUCUGUGGAAGACAAAAGCUUUGUAUCUUUCAUGGUGUUAACAUAGAAUAGGAGGCUAAUCAAUAUUAGUUACAUUGACCUAAAAGUCAGUGCUGAGAUAGAGAGGGCAAAGUGACCAGUUAAGGCUCUCUUGGGAAGUUAUUUCAAGCACAGUAGCCUGUCCUUGGCUCAGAGCCUUGGUGUUGAAAUUGCCCAAGACCUGGCAACUUGGCUUAGUUUCCUCCACUCUGGUCUCCUCACCUUUCACUUCCACUCCCAACUUAGUGUCUGACAUUGUAGCCAUUGGCUCACUCUGGGCACCCUCCAGCCUGCCCGUGGUACAAAUCAAGGCAAAGGAACAGACUUUAUAGGCAUUCUGCUUUUGUCCUUCAUAACUUUUGGUCAAGCAGAGCCACCAGCUGCUGGGGCAUGCAGACUGUGCUGGAAGCCUUGAAUAGCCAUGGGUGGUGUGGUUAGAAUUACCUGCACCCUGCUGCCUACAUACCACUUCCAGAUUAAACAAUAUACUUUACAAGUUUGAGUCAGCACAAGGAAUUUUCCCCAAGCUCAAAUGCCAAUUGGUCUUAAGGGUAUAGGGCUCUAAAGUCAAGCAAACCUGGGUUCCUCCAAAUCCUGACUCCUCCAUUUGCUAAGGCCUGACCUUGGGCAAGUGACUUAACUUCUAUAACUUCUACUUCCGUAUCUGUGAAGUGAGAGUUAUGAUAGCCCCUAUUAAAUGGGGUGUGGUGAUGAUGAUAAGCCCCUAUGAAACAGAUAUGAUGAAGAGUGAAUGAGAUAGAGCUCUGUAAGGGACUUAGGCAGUUUCUGGCACAAAUGAAGCAAUCAUUAAAUGAUGGCUGUUAUUAUUCAAUUGUCUUUGCCUCUUGCUCUACGUCGGCAAUUUCCAUGAUGCUUUAUCCCAGCCCGGGACAUUUGCAUUCCUUAGGUGACAUUUAGGUAGCUUCUAGUAAGGUCCAAAAAUAUUUGUUGAAGCCAGCCAUGUACCUGACACUGUGUUAAGCAUAGUUAUAGGAAGCAGAAUGUGUGAUGGCUCACACCUGUAAUCCCAGCACUUUGGGAGGACAAGACGGGCGGAUCAGGAGGCUGGGAGAUCAAGACCAUCCUGGGCAACAUGAUGAAACCCUGUCUCUACUAAAAAUACAAAAAUUAGCCGGGUGUGGUGGCACAUGCCUGUAAUCCCAGUUACAUGGGAGGCUGAAGCAGGAGAAUCACUUGAACCCAGGAGGUGGAGGUUGCAGUGAGCCGAGAUCAUGCCUCUGUACUCCAGCCUGGUGACAGAGCAAGACUCUGUUUCAAAAAAAAAAAAAAAAUGCAGAAUACAAACUGCAUUUGCCCUCAAGAAGCUUAUAGUGAAGUAGAGGACACAGACUGUAAACGAGUUAUUAUUGUAUAUUGGGAAAGGCACCGUAAUAGAAAUUUAUACCAGAUGAACAAAAAGCACAGAAUGAGACAGGUAUUGAUGCCCUUUGGGGAGGAGGUAGUCAAAGAAGGCCUAAGGGUAAAUGAUUCCUGAGAGGCUUGGGAUGUUAAAGGAUGGAUGGUGUUCACCAGGUGGUUCUGGGACAGGGUGUUGUUCAGGGCAUGGGGAGGCCUUGAAUGAGAUGGGACUGCAUGUGAAAAGGGAGGAUGAAAGAUAAAGCAUCACAUGGUCCAAGAGAAGUUAGACAAGUUGGUGUUAAAUCAUAAAGGAUGGAUUUUGGGAAAUGGCAGAAAAUGAGCAGGAAGCAGUAAGUAGGAGCCAGAUAAUAAGCAGUUGUAUCAAUAAUCACUUAUUCAUCCCAUGCCUAGGAAUUGCUGACCACUCCCUUCUAGAAACACAUUUCUCCUUUGCUUCCACGAUACCAUAUUCUGCUGGUUUUCCUCUUACCCUAUUCUGGACAAAACUCAGGAUCUUUAUCUCAAUUGUCCUCUUUAUCUAACCUACAAAUGUCAGCAUUUCUCAGGACUCAGUCCUGGAGCCCCUUUUCUUAUUCCACAUGCUCUCUUCAGUGAUUUAAUUUACUGCCAGGGCUUCCAUUGCUGCUUCUACACAGAUGACCUACAAGUCUGAGCUCUAGACCUGUGUAUCCCUCUACCUAUUCUACAUUUUGACUUGGAUGUCUUGCAGGUAUCAGAAUUACUGUGUCUAAAGCCAAAUUCAAUAUUUCUACCCCAUAAACUUGUAACCAUCUUUCUUAACCUAAGCUGCACCAUUCACCUAGCAGCUCAGGUUUGAAGUCAAGGAGCCAUCUUUUCCUCCUUGCUCUCCAUCACCUCUCCAAUGUGAAAAAUCACCAAGACUUGUGGCUCACGUCUGUAAUCCCAGCACUUUGGGAGGCUGAGGCGGGUGGAUCACGAGGUCAGGAGAUCAAGACCAUCCUGGCUAACACAGUGAAACCCCAUCUCUACUAAAAAUACAAAAAAUUAGCUGGGUUUGGUGGCGGGUGCCUGUAGUCCCAGCCACUCGAGAGGCUGAGGCAGGAGAAUGGCGUGAACCCGGGAGGCGGAGCUUGCAGUGAGCCUAGAUUGCACCACUGCACUCCAGCCUGGGGCGACAGAGCGAGAAUCCGUCUCAAAAAAAAAAAAAAAAAAAAUCACCAAGACUUAUCAUUCUACCUCUUAAACAUCUGUUAAUUCAAUCUGCUUUCUAUCUCCUCUGCCACCCUUCUAGUCUAAGAUCUCAUUGCCUCCCCCAGACCAUUUAGUAUGGCCUCACAGCUGGUCUCUCUGCCUCAGGUUUUGGCCACUCUACUCCACUUCAAGCCAGUGUAGUCUUUUUAAAAAGUGCAGACUUGGCCAUGUCACUCUUCUCUUUCAAAUCCUUCAGUGGUUAGCAAAAAGUUCGUGGAAUAAAAAAAAAAUAAAAUCAUUCAGUGGAUCCCCACUUUGCCCUUUGGAAUGCCCCAGAUUCUUUGCAUGGCAUAUAAGCCACCCACCAUCCUGUCCUUGUCUGCUUUUCCAGCUUCAUCCCAUAUCCCUCAACCCUCACUCUCUGGGUGCCAGUCACACUGUUCUGUUCCUUUGCAGACGCAGGUUCUUCCCCAUGUAGUUCUUUCCAUGUGGAGAGAGCACUUUCUUCAUCCCCUGUGGUCUGGUGAACUCUUACUCAUCCUCCAAGUGUCACUGUUCUCUCAUUUCCUCAGGGAAGACCUUUCUUGUCACCUAGAUAAGGCCAGUUCCCUUUGCUGCAUGCUCCCAUGGCCACCUCACUUUCCUUUUCAUAACUCUGUUGUCUGUCCCCAUUUCAGGGCUGCAGUUCUACUCAGGAGCGCUCUCUGUCUUGCUCAGUGCAGUGUUCUCAGAACUAGGGCAGUGCAUAGUUCCUUUGAGGUGUUUGAUACAUAGCGACCAAUCUAUCUUCGACUGAACUAUAUCCUAUAGGCAAUGAGAGACACUGAUACAUUUUACACAGCAAAACACUACAAGAUUGGCAUUUUAAGUAGAUCACUGUGGCAGAGUGCAGGAUGGUUAAGGGAGGGGCAAAACUAGAGGCAGCUAGUGAGAUGUCGUUACAGUAAUUCAGGCAGGAGACCAUGAAGAACUGGGCCAAAACAGAGGUAAUGGGGAGAGAAAGAGACAGACUGAGUGAUAAAUCAGAAAACCUGGCAGACUUGUGCUGUGGAAGAGGAGUCACUUGGGGCUUGGGAGUCACUGGGGUGACUCCCAAGUGUGGGAAUGAGAAGAGGAAGAACACCUCUGGUGAGAAAAAUGAGUUCCAUCUUGGAUUUAUUGAGUUUGGGCUGUUUAUGGGACAUGCAGGCAAAGAUGUUCAUCAGAUAGUUGUAUGUGAAUCAUGAAUCAGGAGCUCUAGAGAAAGAUUAGUUCUGAGGUCACUGCCCCUACUGUUGCAGCAAUCCAGGCCCUCCCAUGAUUCCUUUCUUCUCCAGCAUUAUUUCCCUGGGUCAGUUGUUCUCAGCCCUGGCUCCACUUUACAAUCGUCCUGGGUUAUUAAAAACUACCAAUGCCUGAGACUUCCCCAAGACAAAUCAACUCUGAAUUCCUGGAGGUGAUUUUAGUGUGUAGCCAGAAUCAUGGACUACUUCCUAGAUGACUUCCUCCAGUUCCAUGGUUUGAGACUCCUUCAGUGCUCUACAGAACUUUCUGCAGCAAUGGAAACGUUGCAUAUCUAUGCUGUCCAAUAUGGUAGCCACUAGCUACAUGAGGCUCUUAAGCAGUUGAAAUGUGGUGAAAACUGGUGGCCUGAAUGUUUAAUUUUGUUUAAUUAAUCUAAAUUUAAAUUAAAUAGCCCCCUAUGUGUGGUUGGUGGCUACUCUAUUGGACAGGACAGCUCUAUACGCUAAUGAAUCUGAAAUUUGUUUCUCUCCUGAGCUCCAGGCUUACAUAUUGUCUGAUUUGCAUCUCUUCUUGGAUAUCUAAUAGGGUGUCUUUAAGUUAAUGCAUGCCAGAUGAAAUUCUUGAUUUUUUUUCUUCAAAACUUGUUUACCUCCUAGUCUUCCCCAUCUUGGGACACAGCAUCACUUUCCACCCAAUUGCUAAAACCCCAAACAUGGAAGCUAUCUUUUAUUCCUUUUUCCCCCUCUCAUCUCCCUCUUCCAGUUUUUCAGCAAGUCCUGUUAGUUGUAUCAAAUUGACACCUUGACUCCAUCCACCCCUUUCCAUCUCUAGAAGAGCAUAGGAUAGUCACAGCUAUUUUAGUAAGUUACUGCAUCUUCAGUGUGUGCCUUCUGAGACCUUUCUAUGUAUUAACUUACUAGGCCUACAAACAGCUCUAUGAGGUAGGUAAACUAAUAUCCCUAUGUUUAUAGGUGAGGAAAUUGAAGAACAGAAAGCUUUUGCAAAGUGCCUGGGAAUCAAACGGCUAGUCAGUGGUGGGGAUGGGACUCAAAACCAGAUAAUCUGGUUCCAGGGUCCAUGUUCUUCACCAUUCAACACUGUGUCCCUCUGGCUGGUUCCAAGGCCCCACGUCAAUGUUUUCUUACUCUGGUUACAUGUUAGAAUCACUUGAGAAACUUAAAAAAAAUACCAAUUCCUCAACCCCAUUCCAGGUCAGUUAAAUCUCCUGAAGUAGGGCCCAGGCAUCAGAAAAUGGUAGAAUAUUCCAAGGACUUUUCAUACAUAACUAGAGUUGAGAACCAUUUCCUCUAUGUGACCUAGCCCCUGUCUGCUCCCCCAACCCUAGCUUUUACCCCUAACCUUGCUCAUGCUGUUUUCAGCCCUUCUUCCUGCCCCUAGAAGAGGCCAAGCUCUUUGCUGCCACUGAACUUUUGUGCUUGUUCCUUCUCUGCCUAGAACACCCCUUCCUGGCAUAUUCUGGGGAUUGAGUAUGACUUUAGAGAUCCUAAACCCUGGAAAGAUUAAGGGUCCUCUACACUGCCCAUCUAAAUAAAAAUAAACACAAUAUUACAUUUUUAAAAUAUGUAUAAGGAGGGGCCUACAGCAUUCUCAUUUUCCUAAGGGGUCUACUUCCAUGUCUUUUUUGAUGUAUAAAAAUAAACAUUUUCAAAGGAAAUUUUGGUGCUUCUACCUUACCAGUACCUUAAAUAUACGCUUAGCUUGUUUUGGGGAAUCCAGACCUAAAUCUUUUGGACUCAUCCCAAAUGUCACCUUCUCAGGGGGACUUCUCUUAUCUGUCCUUUCUAAAGUGGCAUUCUUCCCUUCCUGAGACCCAUCUAUCACACCAUUCUGGUUUUCUCGUAUUUCAUAGAAAGCAUCAAAAUUUGUAAUUGUCAGGUAUAGUUUUUAGUUUACUAGCUUAUUGUUUGUCUUCUUUAUGAAGGAGGGUCCUGUCUGUCUUAUUUGUUGCUAUAACCUCCUCACCUAGUGCAAUGCCUGAUACAAAGUAAGUGAUAGUUCCUGAAUGAAUGAAUGAAUGAAUGUAGGCUCAUGGAUGGCAAGCAGCACAGAGUAGAUUAUAAUCCCAAGGCAGAUAGACUCAUUUGGGUUGUUACCUUGUAAGACACUUUCUUCAUGGGGUGGGAAGGGAGAAGUGAAUUCAUAGAAAGAGAGGACUGUUGUUGAAAGAGGGAGGGCCAUGGCCUCUGCAACCUGGUGAAGUCUCAGAGCUCAGGAUAUGGCAGAAAGAACAUGCUGUGAUGUUGCAUGGAUUCUGGGUGUGGUGAGAGCUGAUACUUACUUUUGGAUAGUCAUUUCCCUGUGUCUUCUCCAAACUUUCAGUAAAGUUUCUUAAACUCAACAGCUAAGUGUUUUGUUAUUUGGAAAAUUGAGGAAAGACCAUGUGUUCAUGCUCUGCUUUGGGGGCCAAGAUAAGCAAGAGAGAUUGGUGACAGCAUAGAGAAAUGGUGAUAAGAAAGCUAGAAGUGUUUGGGGGCAGCAACAACUAGAAUGGAUUUGUACAUUAGCAUCUAACUUUAGAAUUCCCAGAAUUAUUGUUAUUUGGAUAGUAGAGGAAAGAGUGACUCUUGGAUGGCUAAAGAAGUCGAGGUUAUUCUGGUUGCAAAAUUAAUAAGUUAUUUGGUAAUUAUGUGUUUAAUGUCUGUGUCCCAUGACACAGUAGACUUCCUCUGGAUAAUGAUUGUGUGUGAGUUGUUUACUACUAUGUUGCUGGGUUCCUGGCAUUGGGUGGGCACUCAAUAAAUAUUUGUUGAAUGAAUGAUUGGUUCUGGGUGUUUUUCUGUUUCUAGGUUAUAAGUCAGAAGGGUCUGCUGAAAUGUGAUGAGGAAAACUAGAAGAAAAGUCCAGGCCCUGAGAGUGAAUACCAGACAGAAGCUGGGGGUGGAAGAGUAUCAAUAUGCAAUAUGCAGACUGAUUUGCCGAGGAGGAUUCAGAUAGGAGAUUCAGACUCCCAGAACAACUAAAAGGAUAACAGGCACUGUCAAAGAUCUAGACAGAAGGGCCAGAAAAGCAGCAGUUGGAACACACAGAGGGACUGUUGGUGAGAGAAGCUGCCCCUCAAUGCUCAUGUCAGCUCCUGGGAUACUCUUGAUCCCCAGGCAAUGGACUUAAAGAAACAAACAUUCCUAGACCCCAUUUGGUUGUGGGGCGGGGCUUCUCAGCGUAUUGGCUUUGAUGCUCAUUGGCCAAGGGCUGCAGCGGGCCAGAAACUAACAGUGGAACACAUUAUCAUUGGCAGCACAGGGAUAGACAGCAAAUGUUAGACCUUUUUAAUACACAUGUUGCCUAAUUCUUUGGGAGUGACACAGAAUUCUUAAAACAUGUUUAGGGGUACUUGAUUCCUAAGAUCCUCUGUCCAUCUGUGCCCUCCUCUCCCCUAAACCCACAUUUACGUCUUUCAUUCUCAAGGUUCUAAAAGCUGGAUCUUAAAGGCUCGAGUGACUAAAAUCUAUGGCCUGAUCCCAGAACUAUUUCAGUUUCAAAUACCAAAAGUACUGCUAGUUUGGUUCUCCCCAUUUGUAAGUACCAGCUAGGUUAGAUAGAGUAGGAAGUUGGCAUGUAACUCAAGGCUGCAUAGGGUUG
This 10343-nucleotide long non-coding RNA is filed under the name Homo sapiens (human). Its description in RNAcentral is "non-protein coding lnc-LAMB3-6:1". The record is from RNAcentral. Lineage: Eukaryota; Metazoa; Chordata; Mammalia; Primates; Hominidae.